Molecule: ribosomal RNA, 478 nt
Filed under: uncultured bacterium
Lineage: Bacteria
Description: partial 16S ribosomal RNA
Rfam family: Bacterial small subunit ribosomal RNA
Source: RNAcentral
GACGAACGCUGGCGGCGUGCUUAACACAUGCUAGUCGAACGGUAAGGCCCUUCGGGGUACACGAGUGGCGAACGGGUGAGUAACACGUGGGUGAUCUGCCCUGCACUUCGGGAUAAGCCUGGGAAACUGGGUCUAAUACCGGAUAGGACUCCGGACUGCAUGGUCUGGGGUGGAAAGCUUUUGCGGUGUGGGAUGGGCCCGCGGCCUACCAGCUUGUUGGUGGAGUGGUGGCCGACCAAGGCGACGACUGGUAGCCGGCCUGAGAGGGUGACCGGCCACACAGGUACUCAGAUAAGGCCCAGAUCCCUACGGGAGGCAGCAGUGGAGAUUAUUGCACAAUGGGAGCAAGCCUGAUGCAGCGACGCCGCGUGAGGGAUGACGGCCUUCGGGUUGUAAACCUCUUUCAGCAUCGACGAAGCGAAAGUGACGGUAGGUGCAGAAGAAGAACCGGCCAACUACGUGCCAGCCGCCGCAGUAA